Molecule: ribosomal RNA, 434 nt
Filed under: uncultured bacterium
Lineage: Bacteria
Description: partial 16S ribosomal RNA
Rfam family: Bacterial small subunit ribosomal RNA
Source: RNAcentral
AGCGAACGCUGGCGGCAGGCCUAACACAUGCAAGUCGAACGAACCUUUCGGGGUUAGUGGCGGACGGGUGAGUAACACGUGGGAACGUGCCUUUAGGUUCGGAAUAACUCAGGGAAACUUGUGCUAAUACCGAAUGUGCCCUUCGGGGGAAAGAUUUAUCGCCUUUAGAGCGGCCCGCGUCUGAUUAGCUAGUUGGUUGAGGUAAUGGCUCACCAAGGCGACGAUCAGUAGCUGGUCUGAGAGGAUGAUCAGCCACAUUGGGACUGAGACACGGCCCAAAAUCCUACGGGAGGCAGCAGUGGGGAAUCUAGCGCAAUGGGCGAAAGCCUGACGCAGCCAUGCCGCGUGAAUGAUGAAGGUCUUAGGAUUGUAAAAUUCUUUCACCGGGGACGAUAAUGACGGUACCCGGAGAAGAAGCCCCGGCUAACUUCGUG